This 392-nucleotide ribosomal RNA is filed under the name uncultured bacterium. RNAcentral's name for it is "partial 16S ribosomal RNA". It matches the Rfam family "Bacterial small subunit ribosomal RNA", at positions 523 to 918 of the family's 1533-position model. The record is from RNAcentral.
AUACGGAAGAUGCGAGCGUUAUCCGGAUUUAUUGGGUUUAAAGGGAGCGUAGGCGGGCUUUUAAGUCAGCGGUUAGAUGUCAGUGCCCAACAUUGGCAUGCCGUUGAUACUGGGAGUCUUGAAUACACACAAGGAUGGUGGAAUUCGUCGUGUAGCGGUGAAAUGCUUAGAUAUGACGAAGAACUCCGAUUGCGAAGGCAGCCAUCUGGGGUGCGAUUGACGCUGAGGCUCGAAAGUGCGGGUAUCAAACAGGAUUAGAUACCCUGGUAGUCCGCACAGUAAACGAUGAAUGCUCGUUCUGGGCGAUAUAAUGUCCGGGACCAAGGGAAACCAUUAAGCAUUCCACCUGGGGAGUACGCCGGCAACGGUGAAACUCAAAUGAAUUGACGGGG